UUUUAGCCCCGGUAGCAGCGAAAAGCCUUUUGCAGGAUUGGGGCAGUUUUUCUUAGCAAAAAAAAGCGACCAGCGGAAGCUCUUUUUUUGAUUUAGAAAAACGACUCAAGACAAAAAAGCUUGCAGCGGAUGACGGGAUUUUGC
Molecule: small RNA, 144 nt
Filed under: Flavobacterium lacus
Lineage: Bacteria; Pseudomonadati; Bacteroidota; Flavobacteriia; Flavobacteriales; Flavobacteriaceae
Description: Flavo-1 RNA
Rfam family: Flavo-1 RNA
Source: RNAcentral